RNAcentral lists this ribosomal RNA (301 nucleotides) under uncultured bacterium. RNAcentral describes it as "partial 16S ribosomal RNA". It matches the Rfam family "Bacterial small subunit ribosomal RNA", at positions 509 to 807 of the family's 1533-position model. The record is from RNAcentral.
CAGUCGCCACGGGAAUACGUAGGUGGCAAGCGUUGUCCGGAAUUAUUGGGCGUAAAGGGCUCGCAGGCGGUUUCUUAAGUCCGAUGUGAAAGCCCCCGGCUCAACCGGGGAGGGUCAUUGGAAACUGGGAAACUUGAGUGCAGAAGAGGAGAGUGGAAUUCCACGUGUAGCGGUGAGAUGCGUAGAGAUGUGGAGGAACACCAGUGGCGAAGGCGACUCUCUGGUCUGUAACUGACGCUAAGGAGCGAAAGCGUGGGGAGCGAACAGGAUUAGAUACCCCAGUAGUCCCUGUCUCUUAUAC